UUCUUUUGUCUCAUAUCUAGAAGACAGGCUUUGAUUCUCCUGAAUAAAUCUAAGAUCUUGUUCAUACCCUUUAAUAAACCCCAACACUUCCUGUAGAGAUAGCUUUACCCCUUCAUGUGUCAGUUUAUUUCUUCGAUACCAUAGACUCCAUAUGGAAAGCACAAUGAAAUGUUUUUGUUGUUCUUCUAUUGCAGAAAAAGUUUUAACAAAACGUUCCUUGCAACACAUCAAGUCUCCAAAAGACGGAAUAGUGAUUUUUAAAGAUGCCCAUACACACUAUAGAGUACCACAACACUCAGAAUUCUUCGCGCCAGAUUGCAAAAAUGAGGCAAAAAAUUGUUAAAUAGCCUCCAAAUAUGUAUUUUAAUUUUUUUGGAAUGCGUAAGGCCCACAAAGACUUGU
RNAcentral lists this long non-coding RNA (402 nucleotides) under Gossypium barbadense (sea-island cotton). Its description in RNAcentral is "long non-coding RNA (GBAR_LNC006574)". The record is from RNAcentral. Lineage: Eukaryota; Viridiplantae; Streptophyta; Magnoliopsida; Malvales; Malvaceae.